UACGUAGGGUCCAAGCGUUGUCCGGAUUUAUUGGGCGUAAAGAGCUCGUAGGCGGUUCCGUAAGUCGGAUGUGAAAACUCAGGGCUCAACCCGGAGACGGCAUCCGAUACUGCGGUGACUGGAGUCUGGUAGGGGAUCACGGAAUUCCUGGUGUAGCGGUGAAAUGCGCAGAUAUCAGGAGGAACACCGAUGGCGAAGGCAGUGAUCUGGGCCAGUACUGACGCUGAGGAGCGAAAGCGUGGGGAGCGAACAGG
RNAcentral lists this ribosomal RNA (254 nucleotides) under uncultured bacterium. Its description in RNAcentral is "partial 16S ribosomal RNA". It matches the Rfam family "Bacterial small subunit ribosomal RNA", at positions 524 to 776 of the family's 1533-position model. The record is from RNAcentral.